Molecule: ribosomal RNA, 403 nt
Filed under: uncultured bacterium
Lineage: Bacteria
Description: bacterial SSU rRNA
Rfam family: Bacterial small subunit ribosomal RNA
Source: RNAcentral
UGGGGAAUCUUGGACAAUGGGGGCAACCCUGAUCCAGCCAUGCCGCGUGGGUGAUGAAGGCCUUAGGGUCGUAAAGCCCUUUCGCUGGGGAAGAUAAUGACGGUACCCAGUAAAGAAGCCCCGGCUAACUCCGUGCCAGCAGCCGCGGUAAUACGGAGGGGGCUAGCGUUGUUCGGAAUGACUGGGCGUAAAGCGCGCGUAGGCGGAUCAGCAAGUCAGGGGUGAAAGCCCGGGGCUCAACCCUGGAAUGGCCCUUGAUACUGUUGGUCUUGAGUUCGAGAGAGGUGAGUGGAAUUCCGAGUGUAGAGGUGAAAUUCGUAGAUAUUCGGAGGAACACCAGUGGCGAAGGCGGCUCACUGGCUCGACACUGACGCUGAGGUGCGAAAGCGUGGGGAGCAAACAG